UGUCGUGGUGGAGCAGCCCGGUAGCUCGCAUGGCUCAUAACCAUGAGGCCGGUGGUUCGAAUCCACCCUCCGCAACCA
RNAcentral lists this transfer RNA (78 nucleotides) under Pararhizobium antarcticum. RNAcentral's name for it is "tRNA-Met". It matches the Rfam family "tRNA". From Rfam's summary of the family: Transfer RNA (tRNA) molecules are approximately 80 nucleotides in length. Their secondary structure includes four short double-helical elements and three loops (D, anti-codon, and T loops). Lineage: Bacteria; Pseudomonadati; Pseudomonadota; Alphaproteobacteria; Hyphomicrobiales; Rhizobiaceae. The record is from RNAcentral.